Homarus americanus (American lobster) is the source of this 245-nucleotide long non-coding RNA. RefSeq lists it as uncharacterized. Lineage: Eukaryota; Metazoa; Arthropoda; Malacostraca; Decapoda; Nephropidae. The record is from RefSeq and is a predicted model, not a curated record. The transcript is spliced from 2 exons.
AUGAAUUCAACUGGACAGGACACACUAACAAGACCUGCUACAUGAAGUUACUCCAUUGAUUGAGAAAAGGAGUCCCUGAUCCAGGCGUGUAUAGAGUCGAGCAGCCACAGGUCGUAAACAAAAACAUUGCAAUGUCGUGAGGUGUGGGUAGAUCACUUGGACUGACAUAAUUAAUUUUUUUUGCUGUUUUUUUUCCCUUUUCAUGUUUCAACCCCUUUUGUGCUUUAUUGCAAGAUGUCCAGAAC